GAUGAACGCUAGCUACAGGCUUAACACAUGCAAGUCGCAGGACUGGCGCACGGGUGAGUAACGCGUAUCCAACCUUCCCAUGACAACGGGAUAACCCGUUGAAAGACGGACUAAUACCGUAUGGGGAUGGAUGGGGAGGCGUUUUAUUAGCUUGUUGGCGGGGGAACGGCCCACCAAGGAGACGAUCAGUAGGGGUUAUGAGAGGAAGGUACCCCACAGUGGAACUGCGACACGGUCCAAACUCGUAGGGGAGGCAGGAGUGAGGAAGAUUGGUCACGGGGCGAGAGUCUGACCCAGCCAAGUAUCGUGUAGGACGACGGCCUAUGGGUUGUAAACUGCUUUGAUGCGGGGAUAGGUACCGCAUGAAUAAGGACCGGCUAAUUCCGUGCCAGCAGCCGCGGUAAUAC
RNAcentral lists this ribosomal RNA (407 nucleotides) under uncultured bacterium. RNAcentral describes it as "partial 16S ribosomal RNA". It matches the Rfam family "Bacterial small subunit ribosomal RNA", at positions 28 to 526 of the family's 1533-position model. The record is from RNAcentral.